GUGGGGCUGUCAAAUCACUAAGGUUGACCCAUGCCUUAGGUGGGACAAUGUCCCAGGAUGGCUACUCCGCACGCCUUUGUCAGGGUGGCGGCCCACAGCAGUCGUACGACAUUCGGGGGAGCCGACCGAUUGUACGUCGGUGUCUGGUUGAGGAAUAUCGAAUGGGAUCCCAGAGACCCUCCGACGGAUAGUCGGGGGCGUUGCUGGAGUCGGAUAUCGGGCUCCACAGUUCGGC
This 235-nucleotide long non-coding RNA is filed under the name Elaeis guineensis (African oil palm). RNAcentral's name for it is "long non-coding RNA (EGUI_LNC030108)". Lineage: Eukaryota; Viridiplantae; Streptophyta; Magnoliopsida; Arecales; Arecaceae. The record is from RNAcentral.